AACGUAGGUGGCAAGCGUUAUCCGGAUUUACUGGGCGUAAAGGGUGUGCAGGCGGGGAACCAAGUGGUGUAUGAAAUCUCCCAGCUUAACUGGGAUAGGUUAUGCCAGACUGGUUUUCUAGAGUGCGAGAGAGGGGCGUGGAAUUCCGGGUGUAGUGGUGAAAUGCGUAGAGAUCCGGAGGAACCCCAGAGGCGAAGGCGGCGCCCUGGCUCGCAACUGACGCUCAAACACGACAGCAUGGGGAGCGAACGGG
RNAcentral lists this ribosomal RNA (253 nucleotides) under uncultured bacterium. RNAcentral describes it as "partial 16S ribosomal RNA". It matches the Rfam family "Bacterial small subunit ribosomal RNA", at positions 524 to 776 of the family's 1533-position model. The record is from RNAcentral.